AGUGAACGCUGGCGGUAGGCCUAACACAUGCAAGUCGAACGGCAGCACAGAGGAGCUUGCUCCUUGGGUGGCGAGUGGCGGACGGGUGAGGAAUACAUCGGAAUCUACUCUGUCGUGGGGGAUAACGUAGGGAAACUUACGCUAAUACCGCAUACGACCUACGGGUGAAAGCAGGGGAUCUUCGGACCUUGAGCGAUUGAAUGAGCCGAGGUCGGAUUAGCUAGUUGGCGGGGUAAAGGCCCACCAAGGCGAGGAUCCGUAGCUGGUCUGAGAGGAUGAUCAGCCACACUGGAACUGAGACACGGUCCAGACUCCUACGGGAGGCAGCAGUGGGGAAUAGUGGACAAUGGGCGCAAGCCUGAUCCAGCCAUACCGCGUGGGUGAAGAAGGCCUUCGGGUUGUAAAGCCCUUUUGUUGGGAAAGAAAUCCAUCUGGUUAAUACCCGGGUGGGAUGACGGUACCCAAAGAAUAAGCACCGGCUAACUUCGUGCCAGCAGCCGCCGUAA
Molecule: ribosomal RNA, 506 nt
Filed under: uncultured bacterium
Lineage: Bacteria
Description: partial 16S ribosomal RNA
Rfam family: Bacterial small subunit ribosomal RNA
Source: RNAcentral